RNAcentral lists this ribosomal RNA (197 nucleotides) under uncultured bacterium. Its description in RNAcentral is "partial 16S ribosomal RNA". It matches the Rfam family "Bacterial small subunit ribosomal RNA", at positions 328 to 539 of the family's 1533-position model. The record is from RNAcentral.
ACGCUCGACACCUACGGGAGGAGCAGUGAGGGAUAUUCGGCAAUGGGGGAAACCCUGACCGAGCAACGCCGCGUGAGGGAAGACGGUUUUCGGAUUGUAAACCUCUGUCCUCUGUGAAGAUAGUGACGGUAGCAGAGGAGGAAGCUCCGGCUAACUACGUGCCAGUAGCCGCGGUAAUCUGAGCGGGCUGGCAAGGC